This 253-nucleotide ribosomal RNA is filed under the name uncultured bacterium. Its description in RNAcentral is "partial 16S ribosomal RNA". It matches the Rfam family "Bacterial small subunit ribosomal RNA", at positions 524 to 776 of the family's 1533-position model. The record is from RNAcentral.
UACGGGGGGGGCAAGCGUUGUUCGGAAUUACUGGGCGUAAAGGGUGCGUAGGCGGUUCGCUAAGUUGGAUGUGAAAACUCUGGGCUUAACCCAGAGCCUGCAUUCAAAACUGACGGGCUAGAGUUCUGGAGGGGGUAGCGGAAUUCCUGGUGUAGCGGUGAAAUGCGUAGAUAUCAGGAGGAACACCGGUGGCGAAGGCGGAUCUCUGGGCCUGUCCUGACGCUGAGGCGCGAAAGCUAGGGGAGCGAACAGG